UACGUAGGGAGCAAGCGUUGUCCGGAUUCACUGGGUGUAAAGGGUGCGUAGGCGGGACAGUAAGUCAGUGGUGAAAUCUCACGGCUCAACCGUGAAACUGCCGUUGAUACUGCUGUUCUUGAGUUCGGGAGAGGUUGAUAGAAUUCCAGGUGUAGCGGUGAAAUGCGUAGAUAUCUGGAAGAAUACCAGUGGCGAAGGCGGUCAACUGGCCCGAAACUGACGCUGAGGCACGAAAGCGUGGGGAGCGAACAGG
RNAcentral lists this ribosomal RNA (253 nucleotides) under uncultured bacterium. Its description in RNAcentral is "partial 16S ribosomal RNA". It matches the Rfam family "Bacterial small subunit ribosomal RNA", at positions 524 to 776 of the family's 1533-position model. The record is from RNAcentral.